Molecule: long non-coding RNA, 1678 nt
Organism: Metopolophium dirhodum (rose-grain aphid)
Lineage: Eukaryota; Metazoa; Arthropoda; Insecta; Hemiptera; Aphididae
Exons: 3
Source: RefSeq, a predicted model, not a curated record
UCUAGGCGAGCCCACUGUACGUGUGUCGCGACCGUCUGCCGUUCGGCCACCGCGUGUGGUGCGAUUUAUGUUGUGUUAUUAUAUUCUUCGCUGUGUGUCGAUUAUUAUUUUGCGUUAGUGCAGUGAUUCGUGAUCGCGCCGUCCGGCGUGCUAUUAUUACUGUUUAUACGUAUGGUACUGUGGUGCUAUCCCUCGUGUGACGCCAAGCUCGGUGCCGUGAACACGUAACGUGCGUAUUACGCAAUCCGGUCACUCGCCGUCGUCCGGUGCCGUCGCCAACAGCCGCCGCGCCCCGUUCACCUGCUUGGCAUCGCCAUCGUCGCCGCAGCUGGCUCAGCCGUCGCCGCCGACGAUACACCGCCCCACCGUGGCGCUUGUGCCGACCGUCGUUGCCAGAUAAAUUGAGACGGCAGUGAUGAUAUUUGACAGAAGUAAUAGGAACGAAAAUUCACACAUCUGCAACUGAAGUGAGAACUCGAAAAGACGCAAUACGGAUAUUGAUAAUACUAUCGUACUAUAGCCCAAUGAACCAAGAUUAUGGUAUAAUCACGGAUGUGAUAUUUUCCUAGCUCUGUGCUCAGCAGCAACAGGCUGUCUCUCUUGUUUUUCUUCGUUGAACUCCUAGGCUCACAUAAGAAGCGUAGCUUCAAUAAUAUAUUCAUAUAUUUAUAAUACCUGUAUGGCUAUAUUUUAUAUUUUAUGUUUACCUACGUAAUUAAUAUGCCACGUAAUAAAUGUUUUUAUGUUGUAUUGAAAUAUCUAAUACUAUAAAAUAAUAUUAUAAUACUGUAUGUGGCGACUGGAGGCUGCACUGCGGGGUGGUGCUAUUUUGCGGUAGCCGUCAGCCGGUAAUGAUAUUUGAUAAGGUCAAUGAUUAUUGAGAAUUGUCUGUCGUGCCCUACGUGAAUCCGACAAAUACGACAAAAAACAAAACAGUUUGUAUUUCGUCGCAUCGGCGUGAUCAGAAUAGAAAUCGUCGGAUCUACGUAAGGACUAUGUUCUGUUCUAAGUAUAACAAUAUCCUAGGACCUAGGAAAUAAAGUUAUAACGUUGUAAUGUGUGGCGUGUGCAAUGGAUUUUGAUUUGAUAACAUAUUUUUUUCGUUAAUAUAAAUGACAUCGAAUUAAGAAACAAUUUUCAAAGGACAACACAUGAUGAUUUCGCGUUGACCGAUUAACUGUUUGUGAAGAAUUUUCGGCUAUCAAAAGAAAUUGCGCGGUAUUUGAUUAAUAUAUUAAAGUCAUACAUUGUAGUUGAUACUCAAAUGUCUUCUAUUGAUAUCCAAACAAAAGUUUUAGUAGUUUUACAUUUUUUUGUUACUGGGUCGUAUCAAUCGUCAAUUGACAAUAGUAAUGAAUUUGUCAGUCAUCUGUAUCUAGAUGUGUAAAAAAAUAGUUGCUGCUUUGAACCAACUCAAAAUUUUUAACACUUGGGUAAAAUUUCCUAGCAAUAUUCAAAAGCUUGACGGUCUCCGUAACAUACAGUAUGUUAAAUUAUUUAUUUAUUUAAUAUUAAUUAACGCCUGUUAGGGCAAUUUUACAAAGGUAAAAGUAAUUUUUGAAAUACUUAUUUUUACAAUAGUUUUUACUUAGUAGUAUACUUACAUAUUAUAAAUUAUUAUAAAUUAAAAAUGUACAUUAUACAAUUUUAUGUGCUGUUUGAAACUAAUUUUGUUAAA